Molecule: long non-coding RNA, 1324 nt
Organism: Pseudophryne corroboree (corroboree frog)
Lineage: Eukaryota; Metazoa; Chordata; Amphibia; Anura; Myobatrachidae
Exons: 4
Source: RefSeq, a predicted model, not a curated record
AUGGUGUUGGAGCCACGGAUGUGUUGCGCCUUCUGUGUGUGGAAGCCAGCCACGCUCUGAAUAGCGGUGUUGGGGCUGUGCUUCCACGCUGGGCUCCAAAUCAGCACUGGAGUGUGCCGCCGACGGGCAGGUGUACCCUUUCAUCAUUUGAAGUCAGGCUCAGUCUGAGCCACUACAGGAGACCAGUCCUUAACGGCCGCUGUGUCUUACAGCCCUCCACCGCCCAGCUGAUGAUCAGGUGCCGGGGCUCCGGUGCUUUCUCAUCCCGUCGAUGGCACACUCCAGUGAGGCUGAUUUGGAGCCCGGCAUGGAAGCGCAGCCCCAACACCACUAUUCAGAGCGUGGCUGGCUUUCACACACAGCCAGCGCAACACAUCCGUGGCUCCAACACCAUUCUCCUUCUACACCAGGUGAAGUGCAGGGAGGCUCAAUCGGAGCUGCCCGUGGGAGGUCAGUCCAGCCGUUCCUGGUGAGAGCUCACUGACAUCGUGUCGCACAGGCAACAUCCAGCGGUCCGGGUCCGACAGCCUGCACACGGCUGCAUUCCACCUCAACCCGGCGGUUAUUGCAGACACUGCUCUCCCUCCUCCGUGCGGGGGCAAAUGGCUGGCUGUAUUAACAUCACUCCGGGCUCUCCCUGCUAUUACCAUCACAGCAGCCUGGUUUUGUUGGACACAGUCUAUCUGUCUACCCUUGCAUCUAUUUGAGCGUCAAAAUCCUAUUGCAAGGGUUCUUUCCACUAUAGGAAUAUUGGAAUUGAUACACGUCCGUACGGAAUAAGGACUGUUUGGGACUUCCACAUAAUAAGUCUUUUUGGAAUGUGAAAAGAGUUUAUAAAGAUUUUGUGGAGAGCAGACCACCAGAAUUUUAAAGUUGGCUACAAAGAAUCUGUAUUCUCAUCCUCAUUAGAGGAUAUUAGAUGAGCUUGCUUCACACAGUAUUCUGCCGGAACUGAAUAUUUGGAAGUUGUCAUUGAUAAGUUCAAGAAGUGUCAGGAAUUUCUUGUCUCCAUAUUCAAACCGUUUCCCAAAAACAAUGGAGCAGAUAACAUUGGAGACAGCACGACUGAAGAAGAAGGUUACAUCGAUGGGUUUUUCUAUAGAAAGACAGAAGAAUUGAGCCUCCUCCUGAAUGCGCUCCUCAACACUCCUCUUACCCAUACCAAAAUUCCGAAGUGUAACAAGGGCAAACCGCCUGAGGAUCUUCCACUUUUCCCCAUUGGAGAAUGCUAUUCCUGUGGUAAUGACAAUGUCACACUACAAAAUUAUGAUAUACAUAGAAAACCAACGUAAGUUUUAUACUGUAUUUACUACUGAUUAUUAGU